This 368-nucleotide long non-coding RNA is filed under the name Nicotiana tabacum (common tobacco). RNAcentral describes it as "long non-coding RNA (NTAB_LNC015026)". Lineage: Eukaryota; Viridiplantae; Streptophyta; Magnoliopsida; Solanales; Solanaceae. The record is from RNAcentral.
CUCAAAACUUCUCGAGCCAAUACGUAGGCCCCAAUCCUUGACACCAGUCAAACAAUCGAUUCUACAACAACCAGUGCAUUUUAAUCAAUUUUAAAGUACUACACCUAAUUAUGAAAUUUAUUGAUGAUAUAGAGGAAGAAGGGAAUUAGCUAUUUAAUUCUUACAUAUUACUACUGUAGGGUAAUUGACAAUAGGAGAUUUUACAUACCUGAGUUCAAGAAUAAAUGAGUUAUGAAGAACCCUAGGAUUUUUAUUCGUUGCCUGUGUGCUCUGUUCGUGAGCGAACAGAACUCAGUGUUCUGUUUUUCGUCUAAGGCAGGCAAAAGCCUUUACCCUUUUUGAAGAAUCAUGGGUUCUGUUUCUCCGAG